AAGGUUCUGGAACAUUUCAGACAAUUCUUGAAUUUUCUAGAACGAUUUAGAACAUUCCAGAAUUUUCCGAUUUUUCUAGAAAGUUCUGGAACAUUCCAGAAUUUUCCGAUUUUUCUAGAAAGUUCUGGAACACUCCAGAAUUUUCCCGAUUUUUCUAGAACGUUCUGGAGCAUUCCAGAAUGUUUUCGAAAUUUCCAGAAGAUUCUAGAUUUCCAGAAUUUUAGAACUUUCAGAAAGCUUAAAUUUCCCGCCAAAAUAUUUUUUUCAGAAAAUUUAUAUUUCCCGCCAAAAUGUUUUCACUAAAAAUUUGAAUUUCCCGCCAAAAUAUUUUUCACUAAAAAUUUGAAUUUCCCGCC
Caenorhabditis elegans is the source of this 356-nucleotide non-coding RNA. The record is from Ensembl. NCBI's taxonomy places the organism in Eukaryota, Metazoa, Nematoda, Chromadorea, Rhabditida, Rhabditidae.